Molecule: ribosomal RNA, 460 nt
Filed under: uncultured bacterium
Lineage: Bacteria
Description: partial 16S ribosomal RNA
Rfam family: Bacterial small subunit ribosomal RNA
Source: RNAcentral
CCUACGGUGGGCAGCAGUGAGGAAUAUUGGUCAAUGUACGAGAGUCUGAACCAGCCAAGUAGCGUGAAGGAUGACUGCCCUAUGGGUUGUAAACUUCUUUUAUAUGGGAAUAAAAUGUUCCACGUGUGGGAUUUUGUAUGUACCAUAUGAAUAAGGAUCGUCUAACUCCGUGCCAGCAGCCGCGGUAAUACGGCGGAUCCGAGCGUUAUCCGUAUUUAUUGGGUUUAAAGGGAGCGUAGGUGGAUUGUUAAGUCAGUUGUGAAAGUUUUCGGCUCAACCGUAAAAUUGCAGUUGAAACUGGCAGUCUUGAGUACAGUAGAGGGGGGCGGAAUUCGGGGUGUGGCGGUGAAAUGCUUAGAUAUCACGAAGAACUCCGAUUGCGAAGGCAGUUCACUGGACUGCAACUGACACUGAGGCUCGAAAGUGUGGGUAUCAAACAGGAGUAGAUACCCGAGUAGUC